GAUGAACGCUGGCGGCGUGCUUAACACAUGCAAGUCGAACGGUGAACACGGAGCUUGCUCUGUGGGAUCAGUGGCAAACGGGUGAGUAACACGUGAGCAACCUGCCCCUGACUCUGGGAUAAGCGCUGGAAACGGCGUCUAAUACUGGAUAUGUGACGUGACCGCAUGGUCUGCGUCUGGAAAGAAUUUCGGUUGGGGAUGGGCUCGCGGCCUAUCAGCUUGUUGGUGAGGUAAUGGCUCACCAAGGCGUCGACGGGUAGCCGGCCUGAGAGGGUGACCGGCCACACUGGGACUGAGACACGGCCCAGACUCCUACGGGUGGCUG
RNAcentral lists this ribosomal RNA (325 nucleotides) under uncultured Actinomycetes bacterium. RNAcentral's name for it is "bacterial SSU rRNA". It matches the Rfam family "Bacterial small subunit ribosomal RNA", at positions 28 to 351 of the family's 1533-position model. The record is from RNAcentral. Lineage: Bacteria; Bacillati; Actinomycetota; Actinomycetes.